This 301-nucleotide ribosomal RNA is filed under the name uncultured bacterium. Its description in RNAcentral is "partial 16S ribosomal RNA". It matches the Rfam family "Archaeal small subunit ribosomal RNA", at positions 459 to 759 of the family's 1478-position model. The record is from RNAcentral.
CAGUCGCCACGGGAACACCAGCAGCCCAAGUGGUGGUCGCGUUUAUUGGGCCUAAAGCGCUCGUAGCCUGGCCGGUAAGUUCCCCGUGAAAUCGGGUCGCCCAACGAUUCGGCUUGCGGGGAAUACUGUCGGUCUUGGGGCCGGGAGACGCCGAGGGUACUCCGGGGGUAGCGGUGAAAUGCUGUAAUCCUCGGGGGACUACCAGUGGCGAAGGCGCUCGGCGAUAACGGGCCUGACGGUGAGGGGCGAAAGCUGGGGGCGCGAACGGGAUUAGAUACCCCUGUAGUCCCUGUCUCUUAUA